Molecule: non-coding RNA, 5875 nt
Organism: Dermacentor albipictus
Lineage: Eukaryota; Metazoa; Arthropoda; Arachnida; Ixodida; Ixodidae
Source: RefSeq, a predicted model, not a curated record
CCGAAGCCGUCAAUAGCAUGACGCCAUUUUAAAGUUGCGCUGCAUCACGCACGAGUAUACAUUGUCGUUGAGUGGUUCUGAAAUCGCUGCGCUAGGGACGACUGCAACCAAGCGUUGCGACAAGUUACGGUGGGAGCUUCUGUCCGUGCUGUGUGAUUGCGACGAGGGGACCGCCGCCAGCAGCAGCGUUUCGCCGAUUUCGUCUUUGCCGACAUCGAGCAAGUGCGCUCGCCGGAAGCGUCCGAAGUGCUGCGGUUUGCACUGCAUCUUUCAUUGUGAUAUGGGAGAUCGCAACGGACAGAGACGACCAGAUGCAUACGAACCACUACCAGCGGGGACCUGUGACCUGUGCCAUAUUUCUCUUAACGUCUCAGGUAUUCAAGAAAUGCCAACAUCCAGAAGAAGACGCCAUCUUAUCCAGCACGUUAUUGGUACACUCUGGUGGCUCCCGCCCCUGCAUCCUACCACCACUGUGUCCUGACUACGUCCACUAGGGAGUUUGAAGCCUUUGGCGGCUCCUGCCGCUGCGUCCUGCCACCACCAUGUCCUGACUACGUCCACUAGGGAGUUGGCAGCCUUCGUGAUGAUGCCAAGCAGGCUGGAAGCCAACAGAAAGAUUAAUGUUGCCUCGAAAUUUUACCAAAGCCGUACCACACACGGGCCAGGCCUCUUGCAAACGGCGUAUAACCAGGCUCAACACAUGAGUGUCGAGUGAGUCCGGAGAUCAAGGCAACCUGCUGUGCGACCAGCGUGCAACCUUUGGUGACCUCUCUACAUGUUCCGCCUAUUUCACAGCUGCACCUCAGCUGCAACUUAUCCAAACAGCAUCACCAACUGUGGUCACUCAUCAAACCAUGGAUGAAUGUUAGGGUGGAGUGAUUUGAAGAGACAUUCUAUUUGUCUCUUCAAAUUCUUAGCAAAUACUUGUGUUAUUAUAAUUAAUAUGUGUCUUUAGUGCCUAGUUUUUAAUGGUUCCUUUCUAUUAGAAUUCUCACCAUCGAUUCCUGCUAUUACUAUAAUGUAUGUCUUUAUGCCCAGUUUUUCGUAGUUCUUUUGUACUUGUGUAUGUAAUUGAUAGAUUCAUACUUGUUAUACAGAAGGCUAAAAUGCAAACUUACAGCAUUUUUUUCUUUCUUUUGAUUAUCUACAGCACUGCAAAGUGUUCAAGAAAUGUAACCUAACGUGAGCUCUUGUGCAGGAAAAAUUUAAGAGCAAUAUAGAGUACUUAUUUCAAACACCCAUUAUUCUUGGAAAAGUCAAGAAUAUAGGAGCACAAAAAAGAAAAUAUUAAACUAGAGAAACAUAAGUUCCCCUCAUAAGUCUGAUAAUAAUGUGACUUCCUUUCACUGCAAAGAUACCAGUAAUAUACUCGCACACAAGGUUUCAAACAAGAAAGCUAUGAUGCCCUUUGCAUUUCUCGGUGCCCAUUUGUCACACUGACGAAUGUCAAAGGCAUCGUAGGUUAUAUGCACACAUUGGUUGUGUUACACUUUUGAGUAUUUCAUUUCUCAAACACAAAGGUUUACAGCAGUGCUUUAAAUAGCAAGUGCAUUUCCUAAUUUAUUAGUGCAAGAGUAACAGUACAGAUCAUGUAAAAAUUAUUUUACAGUCCAUGGAUGCACGCUUCUGAUGACAUAGCAGUGACGUGGUCGUGGGAUGAAUGUCUUUAUUUCAGAUUUAAAUAUUGGCUUCCAGGUCUGGGUUAGUCUCCUACUCUGAGUAGUCUAGGUCAAAGUCCAUUUACUAGAGAAAGUGAAUUAAACUAGAAAUUAUAAACAUCAAAAGAUCUUGUUUAGGACACUAAUGAGACAAUCAGCAAGGUUCUUUGGUUAUUCAUUUCCAAAUUUGUGAGGAUAUAUGUUAUGACUGGUUUCAAUAUUGUGAGUACAAAUAUUUGUUUAUUGUCACACUAGAGUGGGCUGCCCCAUUUGUAUACAACCCCUUUACAGGCUAAAAAUUCCGUGUGUUACCCUAUUUACUCGCAUAAUGAUCACACUUUUUUGCAAAAAAAAUUGACUCAAAUUCAGGGGUGCGGUCAUUACACUGGUUAAUUUUCCCGCAAAAAGAAAAAAAUAUAUUAUCUGGCAUUUACUACGGGAUGACAACAGGUCAACAAAUAGGCGGCUGCUGCUGUAUGUAGUGCAGGACACGAAAAAAAAUGGUGGCCGGCAGAGCAAGCCGAACGCGCCGAAUGCAUUUUUCUUCUCGUGAGUACAUUACAGUGCAUUCAAACAGUUUCUUCCAUAUUAGUAAUGAAUAAUAUUUGCAAGUUUGCGGCAAUAACAUAGCCAUGCCCACUUUGAGGGGACAGAAACAGAUGGGCGCACUUAGCUGCCAGUGACAUAGGAACACAUGCUGCGGAAACUGCGGCAUUUGUCUUCACCACUAUCCUAACGUGGCACGUUUCCGCUAAGGGUGGGUGAAUAUCUUAGCUGCGUUACAAACGUCGGCGAAUGAAUAGGGUACACUUCUAACCUAUCAGUGUAAACGUGGCUGCUAUCAUUGCCGCUCGCGAUUUGUUGCGUGCCCACAAGUGCAGAUGAGAAGAAUCGAAAGACGCCUUUUUUUGUUGUUUUUAUUGACCACAACCAUUAUAAAGCCUACACAUAAUAAAGGAAAGUUUGGUUGUAGCUUUUUUUUGUCGUAGAAGUGCGGAAAGUGAUGAAAGCAAUGAAAUGGGGCAUCUGCUUAAGAAAGUUUUUUGCGUGCAGACUGCUUGGUUUGUCUUGAAGAGUCGUUCGCAUAGCAGUCGACAGAUGGUAAGCGCGAUCAUUAUUAGCUAGAUUUGGCACGUGACACAUCGCUGCGGCAAGUUCGGGGUGAAAUCAUUACGUGGGAAAUAAAAAAAAUCGAAUUAAAACGACAAAAUUUAGGGGUGCGAUCAUUACGCGAGUGCAAUCAUUAUGCGAGUAAAUACGGUAAUAGGCUGUUUUUGGUUUUGUGCACUCUAUGUUAAGGGAUGCAAAUGGUGACAUACAACAGAAUGCAAAAAUGACUAAUGAAUUCAAGCAGGGCAUGGGGCUUUUUAGGCAGAUGCGUGCGUGUGCUAUUUAUAAAGCUCCCCAUGGUAUGCCUGAAGGCAUUUUCUAACACUUUGGUAGAAUACACUGACACCCACUUAUUAACUCCUCGAAACAACUUUUUUAUAUAUUUGUACUAGAGAUUUGAAUAUACUGUCAUUCAUAAAGUGUUUUAUUAGAUUUGAAUUGUCAUUUAUUUUUGUGUAGCUGCUGUUUUUUAGUUAUGUCCUACACAGUGGCAAAAUAUUUUGGGGGGCACUUUCCUGUGUAUAAAGUUUUCAGAAAUAGCUUCAUGCUGUAUCUUAUUUAGCUAUUCGUAUACUGCAAAGUGGUGAUACCUAUCCAAACGGCUUGUACAAUUACUGGAACUAUGCAAGAAUAUAUUAGGCCACAUUAAAUAAUUUUACAGAUUGCAAUUUCAAUUAGAUAUGAGCAUUCUGCAUAUCUUGAAGAGUACGUAUGCCAAAUUUCGUUAGUAUAGGACAACUAUAAGUGCAUAAGAAGUAUGCAAGAUUAGUAGGCAGGCCUCUCUGCCUGCCUACUAAUCUUGCAUACUUCUAGUAACUUUACAUGCUGUUUGAAUAGAUAUCGGUACUUUGUAGUCUACGAAGAGCUGAGGUAGCUACAGCACACUGCUUUUUGUGAAAAUUUAGUACACAAGAAAGUGCCCGCAAAGAUCAGUGUAUUUUCCCAUUGUGUGGGACAUAACUCAAGAAGCAGCUAAAGAAAUACUAAUGACAUAUAUGAAAUCUGCAUGAAGAACUCUACAAUUUGCUCUCUUUCAAAGCCUCUAGUACGAAUAAUAAGACUGUUUCGAGUAAUAUUCAAUCAGCAAAACAUGCCCCUUGCUAUAGUGACCUACAACAUAGAAACGCAGAUUGAAUGCAAGUCUUUUUGUUAAAGCGACUCUGGGCUGUCUUCCCAAGGGCUUCUGUUAAACACUGAAAUUUCCUGCAUUUACCAGAAGUGCAAUACUAAAAUGUUUGUGGAUGUGCAAUUGGUAUUGGCAAACUAACAGAAAAAAAGACAGUUCUGUGAAAUGAGGAAUUGACUAUAACUUUGUUCGACAUUUACAUUUUGACUCCAUAUCUUUGUUUUGUGCUUUGUACUGAGUGUUUCAGCAGUGACUGCCGCUAAAAAUUGAACAUAUCUGCUUCAUGACAAUGCGACAAUUUUCGCUAACAGAAAUUUAUAGCAGUGGCAGGCAUUAUAAUUACAGUACUCAAUAACGUCUAGUUUGUAAGAACUCAGACUAGCACCAGUUCCGAGAUACACAACCCAAAAAGACAUGAUCAGAUAGGUUUAUCUUCCACACAGAAUUGUCCCAUAAGGCUUACAAAAUGUUUUGUGGCUAAGUAAUAUCUGCAACAGCAAAGCAUGUUCCACCAAGUAUGGCGAUAAAUAUUUCAGAGCUGUCAGUCUGAGGACUCCUACAAACUAACAAUACCUUCAGCACUGACUAGCCUCAAUAAUAGGAUGUCAGCCAUUUUGCUGAAAUUAAUAAAACUUCAAUUAUUGUGAUAUUGUUUACGAAAAAAUUUGCAAUUGUAAUGCAGUUCUAGUAUCUGUCACUUGUAAAUAUUUUCCAAUUAGUUUUUCAGACUACAAUUUUUGGUAAUAGAGGUAUUCAUUGCAGAAAGAUCUAGUACAUGGCACUUAAUAAUAAAGGUACUGGUCAUUGUAGACUUUCUGUUGCACAGCUGUUUCUUGAAAUCUGAAAGGAUGUACCCGCCUCCUUAUGUUAGCUAGAAACGGAAAUCUGUCAGUAUGUUUUGUUUAAAAUACAGCUGAUCAACCCGAUAGUUAGGCUGCUUGCCAAAUAUAAAUCAUAACAAUAAUAGUGAAGGACCAUAAUAACAAAGUGAUGCUGACUCAUAACUAUGCCCAGCUACAUCCACGCAGCUGUGCCAUACAAUGUGCAUGUGUUCAGAAGAGCCAAAUGCCCCAGAGAGAAAGCAACAGUAACUCAUUGUUUGUCAUCUUGUUCAAGCAGAUUAUGCGCUAGCUGUAAUUUAUGCUCAGUAAAUACAUAAAUCAGUCAUGUCAGGUGUCUUACUUUGGGUUGCAAGUUCGAAGUUCUUGUAAUCUUGCUUGUUUUUAUUUUGUUUCCUUUGUGAGCAUGAGUGACUUGGUUGCCUUCGCACAUAUUCUCAAAACUGUUUCAUCACUGGGAAUCAGGAAAUUUAAUUUACAUAUGAAAUUCCCAGUUCCCAGUUACUAAUUUGGUAGGCUUUGAGCUUAAUUCUCUUAACUUUUAUAUGUUUAGCUACCAAGUAGUCUUAUCGUGCAUUGAAACAUAUCCAUGCAAUGCAGAGAGGGCACCCAAAUUAUAAAUAUCUGUUCUUGCUUUCUACCCUGCUCUGGUGUUUUCAAAACCUAGCAUUGGUGCAAUGGCCUGUCUGCAGAAAAGUAGUAAAGUGGCUAAAUUUAAAGGUCAACAACAUAAUUAAGAUACAAAGCAAAAAUAUAAGUUCGCAAUUGUCCCCCAUAACGAGAGUUCUGCUUAGAAUUUAAAAAAAAAUUGACAUCCUGCUGUGGUGUGAGAAUUGCUCUGGGUGCCAAGGGGACUACGUAGCACCUGUACUAGUGUAUACAAAGCAAAAAAAAAGGUCACUCCAGAUUGGAACGGCAGUGGAAAGUCAAGCACAGAUGCUUUAUUUCAUGCACCAUUAAUGUGGCUUAUCAUCUGCUCCUGUUGUAUGGGAAUGCAUACGUUGGGAAGACAAUCCUUCGCACCAUUGUUACCUUAGCGGGACACCAGAGAAAGGUAGAAAUCGAGAAAAUCGAGUUUGUUUAUGUGUUCUGCUUCCUCUCUUGUCCUCAUCAUUCAUGCGCUAUCUUUGCCGUAACAAAAU